GCACAGGAGAUAACAUACACCAAGCUGUGGAUGUGAAAGCAUAACUUCACUAUUUUUUUUUCUUUCUUCAAUCUCUAGGUCAGUGAGUAAAUCCAUCCGUUUUGUACUCUGCUGGCAACGUUGUUUGAAUCGCUGAAGGAGACGGUGUGCUCCUUCCUUGGCCCCAGUGCAGCAGCCUUGGAAGGAGUUCUUUUAAAGAGCCUCCAACAGCAUGAGCAAGCAGCUAACAUUUGCCUUUCCAAUCAUGUACGUUCCGAAAGUACAAGGAGAGGAUGAGACAGGACAGGAAGGAGAGGACCUGGAGGAAAGCCUAGAACAAACACCGGAGGAGCGUGUACAAUUGCUGGAGCAGAACAUGGCUGAGCAGAACAGAGAAGGAGGUUUGGUGGACAAUGGAGACUACAAGGUUUGAGUUCCUGUGGCUUGGAGUAUCAUGAACCACAACUAACUGGCUGAAGUAUGAAAAUUGCUGAAGGGCAUUUUCUAUCACACUUUGGGCAGCUGCACAUGAAAUUGAUGGAAAAUUACCUUUCCAAGGUGAGGAGGAGCUGCUGACUCCCCUGAGGGCAGAGAAGCCUUGCAGGGAGAUGUUGACAAAUGGAAGGACUGGGCAAUCACCAACCACAUGAAGUUCAGCAAGAGCAAGUGCCAGAUUCUGAAUCUGGAAUGGGACAAUUCUGGCUAUAGGUGCAGACUGAGGGAUGAGAGCCCGGAGAGCAGCUCCACGGAAAGUGACCUGGG
Gallus gallus (chicken) is the source of this 741-nucleotide long non-coding RNA. The record is from Ensembl. NCBI's taxonomy places the organism in Eukaryota, Metazoa, Chordata, Aves, Galliformes, Phasianidae.